This 425-nucleotide ribosomal RNA is filed under the name uncultured bacterium. Its description in RNAcentral is "bacterial SSU rRNA". It matches the Rfam family "Bacterial small subunit ribosomal RNA", at positions 354 to 796 of the family's 1533-position model. The record is from RNAcentral.
GUGGGGAAUAUUGGACAAUGGGCGAAAGCCUGAUCCAGCAAUGCCGCGUGAGUGAUGAAGGCCUUAGGGUUGUAAAGCUCUUUUACCAGGGAUGAUAAUGACAGUACCUGGAGAAUAAGCUCCGGCUAACUCCGUGCCAGCAGCCGCGGUAAUACGGAGGGAGCUAGCGUUGUUCGGAAAUACUGGGCGUAAAGCGCACGUAGGCGGUCUAUUAAGUCAGGGGUGAAAUCCCAGAGCUCAACUCUGGAACUGCCCUUGAAACUGCUAGACUGGAAUCUUGGAGAGGUGAGUGGAAUUCCGAGUGUAGAGGUGAAAUUCGUAGAUAUUCGGAAGAACACCAGUGGCGAAGGCGACUCACUGGACAAGUAUUGACGCUGAGGUGCGAAAGCGUGGGGAGCAAACAGGAUUAGAAACCCUAGUAGUCC